GUCUGAAUUAUUCACCCAUGUCUUUUGCGCACUUCUUGUUUCCUGGGCGGGUUCGCCCGCCACCAGGACCAAACCAUAAACCUUUUUUGUAAUUGCAAUCAGCGUCAGUAAACAAUGUAAUUAUUACAACUUUCAACAACGGAUCUCUUGGUUCUGGCAUCGAUGAAGAACGCAGCGAAAUGCGAUACGUAGUGUGAAUUGCAGAAUUCAGUGAAUCAUCGAAUCUUUGAACGCACAUUGCGCCCUUUGGUAUUCCAAAGGGCAUGCCUGUUCGAGCGUCAUUUGUACCCUCAAGCUUUGCUUGGUGUUGGGCGUCUUGUCUCUCACGAGACUCGCCUUAAAAUCAUUGGCAGCCGACCUACUGGUUUCGGAGCGCAGCACAAUUCUUGCACUUUGAAUCAGCCUUGGUUGAGCAUCCAUCAAGACCCUAUUUUCUUAACUUUUGACCUCGGAUCAGGUAGGGAUACCCGCUGAACUUAAGCAUAU
This 486-nucleotide ribosomal RNA is filed under the name Stemphylium solani. RNAcentral's name for it is "eukaryotic LSU rRNA". The stretch from base 128 to 281 matches the Rfam family "5.8S ribosomal RNA". Lineage: Eukaryota; Fungi; Ascomycota; Dothideomycetes; Pleosporales; Pleosporaceae. The record is from RNAcentral.